GCGAAUGGUGGGUGAGCGGCGGGGGUAAUACUUGGGUGGCGAGCGUUGUCCGGAAUGGUUUGGGGUAAAGCGGGGGCGGGCGGCUUUUUAAGUCGGAUGGGAAAGCCCCCGGGUCAACCGGGGAGGGCCAUUGGAAACUGGGAGGCUUGAGUAUAGGAGAGAAGAGUUGAAUUCCACGUGUAGCGGUGAAAUGCGUAGAGAUGUGGAGGAACACCAGUGGCGAAGGCGACUCUUUGGCCUAUAACUGACGCUGAGGCGCGAAAGCGUGGGGAGCAAACAGGAUUAGAUACCCGAGUAGUC
RNAcentral lists this ribosomal RNA (300 nucleotides) under uncultured Ignisphaera sp. RNAcentral describes it as "bacterial SSU rRNA". It matches the Rfam family "Bacterial small subunit ribosomal RNA", at positions 496 to 795 of the family's 1533-position model. The record is from RNAcentral. Lineage: Archaea; Thermoproteati; Thermoproteota; Thermoprotei; Desulfurococcales; Desulfurococcaceae.